CGGCAAGAUGUGUAUUGUACCGGUGCGCGCCGAGGCGCGACCGUUCCAAUACCGUCCUUACUCGCGCUUCGCGCUCGACGGCAUCUUGCUCUGCGAGGCU
Non-coding RNA from Rhodanobacter sp. SCN 69-32, 100 nucleotides. Lineage: Bacteria; Pseudomonadati; Pseudomonadota; Gammaproteobacteria; Lysobacterales; Rhodanobacteraceae. The record is from Rfam.